UGGGGAAUAUUGCACAAUGGGCGCAAGCCUGAUGCAGCCAUGCCGCGUGUAUGAAGAAGGCCUUCGGGUUGUAAAGUACUUUCAGUCGGGAGGAAGGUGUCAAGGUUAAUAACCUUGGCAAUUGACGUUACCGACAGAAGAAGCACCGGCUAACUCCGUGCCAGCAGCCGCGGUAAUACGGAGGGUGCAAGCGUUAAUCGGAAUUACUGGGCGUAAAGCGCACGCAGGCGGUUGAUUGAGUCAGAUGUGAAAUCCCCGGGCUUAACCCGGGAAUUGCAUCUGAUACUGGUCAGCUAGAGUCUUGUAGAGGGGGGUAGAAUUCCAUGUGUAGCGAUGAAAUGCGUAGAGAUGUGGAGGGAUGCCGGUGGCGAAGGCGGCCCCCUGGACAAAGACUGACGCACAGGUGCGAAAGCGUGGGGAGCGAACAGG
RNAcentral lists this ribosomal RNA (429 nucleotides) under Chloroflexota bacterium. RNAcentral's name for it is "Chloroflexi bacterium partial 16S ribosomal RNA". It matches the Rfam family "Bacterial small subunit ribosomal RNA", at positions 355 to 776 of the family's 1533-position model. The record is from RNAcentral. Lineage: Bacteria; Bacillati; Chloroflexota.